CUCAAUCACUCCACACAACCAAUCUGUUGUCAACUCUUGUCAUUUCUACAAUCAUGACAUCUCUGGUACACUGUUCUUUCUAUUCGACAUAGCUGCUACCCUGGGUCAAGCCCUCAUCAUCUCAUGCCUGAACUAUUUCAAUAGCCUUCUGAUUUAUUUGCCAGCCAAGCAGGAGCAUUAUAGAGGAUCUUCAAUGUCAUGGUCCCAGACAAUUCAUGUUUUGUUGGAUGAAGUCCACAAAAUAGUUUGAGAAUAUGUAAACUGAAAAUGAGUUUAUAACAAUAAGAUCAUGGCACCUAUGACAAGGAUGAACAGAACCUUCAUCACCCGGACAUCGCUAGAAAGAAACAGAGAGAUUGUUUCAGAUUAAAACUAUCAGAUUAAUAGUCU
RNAcentral lists this long non-coding RNA (390 nucleotides) under Monodelphis domestica (gray short-tailed opossum). RNAcentral's name for it is "lncRNA (ENSMODG00000048387.1)". Lineage: Eukaryota; Metazoa; Chordata; Mammalia; Didelphimorphia; Didelphidae. The record is from RNAcentral.